RNAcentral lists this ribosomal RNA (863 nucleotides) under uncultured bacterium. Its description in RNAcentral is "bacterial SSU rRNA". It matches the Rfam family "Bacterial small subunit ribosomal RNA", at positions 518 to 1378 of the family's 1533-position model. The record is from RNAcentral.
CGGUAAUACGGAGGGUGCAAGCGUUACUCGGAAUCACUGGGCGUAAAGCGCGCGCAGGCGGAUAGGAAAGUCAGAAGUGAAAGCCUGCGGCUCAACCGCAGAACUGCUUCUGAAACUCUCUAUCUAGAGUCUGGGAGAGGUAGCUGGAAUUAGUGGUGUAGGGGUAAAAUCCGUAGAGAUCACUAGGAAUACCGAAAGCGAAGGCAAGCUACUGGAACAGUACUGACGCUGAGGCGCGAAAGCGUGGGGAGCAAACAGGAUUAGAUACCCUGGUAGUCCACGCCCUAAACGAUGAAUGUUAGUCGUUGCCAUGCACGUCAUGGCAGUGAUGCAGCUAACGCAUUAAACAUUCCGCCUGGGGAGUACGGUCGCAAGAUUAAAACUCAAAGGAAUAGACGGGGACCCGCACAAGUGGUGGAGCAUGUGGUUUAAUUCGAAGAUACGCGAAGAACCUUACCUGGCCUUGACAUCCUUGGAACCCUGCAGAGAUGCGGGGGUGCUUGCUUGCAAGAACCGAGUGACAGGUGCUGCACGGCUGUCGUCAGCUCGUGUCGUGAGAUGUUGGGUUAAGUCCCGCAACGAGCGCAACCCUCGUGUUUAGUUGCUAACGGUUAGGCCGAGCACUCUAAACAGACUGCCUCCGCAAGGAGGAGGAAGGUGAGGACGACGUCAAGUCAUCAUGGCCCUUACGGCCAGGGCGACACACGUGCUACAAUGGUUAGGACAAUGAGACGCGAUACCGCGAGGUGGAGCAAAUCUAUAAACCUAAUCUCAGUUCGGAUUGCACUCUGCAACUCGAGUGCAUGAAGCUGGAAUCACUAGUAAUCGUAGAUCAGCCAUGCUACGGUGAAUACGUUCCCGGG